AGAGUUUGAUCCUCGGCUCAGGACGAACGCUGGCGGCGUGCCUAAUACAUGCAAGUCGAGCGGACAGAUGGGAGCUUGCUCCCUGAUGUUAGCGGCGGACGGGUGAGUAACACGUGGGUAACCUGCCUGUAAGACUGGGAUAACUCCGGGAAACCGGGGCUAAUACCGGAUGCUUGUUUGAACCGCAUGGUUCAAACAUAAAAGGUGGCUUCGGCUACCACUUACAGAUGGACCCGCGGCGCAUUAGCUAGUUGGUGAGGUAAUGGCUCACCAAGGCAACGAUGCGUAGCCGACCUGAGAGGGUGAUCGGCCACACUGGGACUGAGACACGGCCCAGACUCCUACGGGAGGCAGCAGUAGGGAAUCUUCCGCAAUGGACGAAAGUCUGACGGAGCAACGCCGCGUGAGUGAUGAAGGUUUUCGGAUCGUAAAGCUCUGUUGUUAGGGAAGAACAAGUACCGUUCGAAUAGGGCGGUACCUUGACGGUACCUAACCAGAAAGCCACGGCUAACUACGUGCCAGCAGCCGCGGUAAUACGUAGGUGGCAAGCGUUGUCCGGAAUUAUUGGGCGUAAAGGGCUCGCAGGCGGUUUCUUAAGUCUGAUGUGAAAGCCCCCGGCUCAACCGGGGGAGGGUCAUUGGAAACUGGGGAACUUGAGUGCAGAAGAGGAGAGUGGAAUUCCACGUGUAGCGGGUGAAAUGGCGUAGAGAUGUGGGAGGGAACGCCAGUGGCGAAAGCGACUCUCUGGUCUGUAACUGACGCUGAGGGAGCGAAAGCGUGGGGAGCGAACAGGAUUAGAUACCCUGGU
Molecule: ribosomal RNA, 808 nt
Filed under: Bacillus sp. AGR112
Lineage: Bacteria; Bacillati; Bacillota; Bacilli; Caryophanales; Bacillaceae
Description: bacterial SSU rRNA
Rfam family: Bacterial small subunit ribosomal RNA
Source: RNAcentral